This 505-nucleotide unclassified non-coding RNA is filed under the name Anelosimus octavius. Its description in RNAcentral is "partial contains 16S ribosomal RNA and tRNA-Leu (trnL)". The stretch from base 106 to 409 matches the Rfam family "Bacterial large subunit ribosomal RNA", at positions 2074 to 2646 of the family's 2925-position model. The record is from RNAcentral. Lineage: Eukaryota; Metazoa; Arthropoda; Arachnida; Araneae; Theridiidae.
UUUGUUUUUUAAUUAAAAACUAGAAUGAAAGGUUAUACAUUCAAAUUUCUUUAUUAAUUUUUUAAUAAAUAAUUUAUAUUAAAUAUAAAAAUAUAUUUACAAAAAAAAAAGACGACAAGACCCUAUUAAAUUUUACUUAUAGUUUAGCUGGGGAAGCUUUUCAAUUAAAAUUUUUUAAAAAAAAAAUUUAAUAAAUAUCUAAUAAAAUUAAAAUUUUAAUAAAUUACUAUAGGGAUAACAGCAUUAUAUUUUUUAAAAGUUCAUAUUAAAAAAAAAUGAUUGUGACCUCGAUGUUGAAUUAUAUUUUCUAUAUUUAAUGCAAUAAUUAUAUAAGUAGAUCUGUUCGAUCUUUAAAAUAUUACAUGAUUUGAGUUCAAACCGGUGUAAACCAGGUUGGUUUCUAUCUUUUUAUAUAUUUUUCUAGUACGAAAGGACAAAAAAAUUUUUAUUUUAAUAAAUUAGCAAAUGAAUGCAUUAGAUUUAGAAUCUAAAUAUAUAUAUAAUU